Long non-coding RNA from Jaculus jaculus (lesser Egyptian jerboa), 984 nucleotides. RefSeq lists it as uncharacterized. Lineage: Eukaryota; Metazoa; Chordata; Mammalia; Rodentia; Dipodidae. The record is from RefSeq and is a predicted model, not a curated record. The transcript is spliced from 2 exons.
CAAGGGUCUCACUACUCUCCGGGAGGAGCGUCCUAUCCAUCCAUUCCAUUGGCUACUUACCACCCAAUGGACUAAAGUGAUUGGUCAAGAAUCAACGCCCCCUCCCCACCCACUCCCAGGAAAGCCCGCCUUCUAGACCUAAACAAAGCUUCCCAAUAGCCAGAGCCAGAAAGAACGAGCCAAUGAGAAAGGAGCCGACACGGAAUAUUUCCUCGAGGCCAGGACAUGGUGUUUUGAUUGGACGUCACUGCAGUGUUUCCCAAGCCGUCCAGACCAAUCAAAGGGGGUUCCCGGAACUCGGGAACAGCGAAGGAAAGCCCCGCCCCUGAGCGUGACCGUCAUGAGGAAGACGCUUGCUCAUUGGAGCGCUGGGGCUUUUCCCGCGUGCUCCCGGGGCUGAAGGACGUUCCCGGGGAAGCCGCUGCCGGCGCGUGGGGUCCCGGUGGCAGUGGAGGAUGCAGCGGGAUCUCCGGGCUCCCACAACCUGCCACGCCGGCCGAGAGCGAGCCCCCCAGGAAAGCUUAAAAUACUGAAACUUUAUUUUGGUCACGUUGCCCAUGUGACCGACGGAGCCGAUGAGUCAUAGACGCCUGUCCCAGGAUGAGGCCGCCGCGCGGAUGUUCGGAACGAUGAGCCCCGGCGUCCCUGGCAUCCUGGGCUAUUUCCAAGCGCCCGCUGCGCCAGCGCCGGGUGCGGGCGCGCUCCUCUGCCAAGCCAGAUGUCGGGGAGCCAGAGACCCUUAAAACAGAGGCAGAGGAGAGCACCGCUGCAGCCUUUCUGGAAACCCAGCCACGUCGGAAUAGACCUGCACGUCUUGAAUGGAGAAACUCCGAGCUGCGGGGCAUAGCGCUCACCAAAGCCAUGCCCCGCUCUAGAGAUUCAGGAAUUCUGUACGUGGGCCGGUGACCCCAGAAACAAAGGACAGAGCUUGAAUCUCAAGUUUAUUAUUUUUAAAAAGUUAAAUAAAAUACAUCCGAAAUCUAA